AACACAUUUCGUAGUUGCGUACUUUCGAAUAUCCAUCAUACGAGCGCCGAGGAGCUGUAGCCGAGCUUUGAAAAAAUUUUCGCAGUUGGCUAAAUAUUACCUGUCAGAUUUCGCAAUUUGAGCUCGAAAUAAGCUACAACAGCUAGCGAAAAGGCACACAAACGUACACUUUUGGCGAGUCAUCGAGUAAAAGGCAGGCGUGCAAUAUUAACAACAACAACAACAACAGACAGCAAUUACGCAUAGUCUCUAUUGCUUUCGAAGUUCGAAUGCAUAAAGCUUGUUAAUUUCGAAAACAACCCCCGACAGCCAAGUCCAACACAUACGGCACGCAAUCAAAAAUCUAAAACAACAGCGUUAAUUAGCGCCCACCACCCACACACACACCACCUACCGUUGCCUACCGUUGCUGUGAGUGUCACAGUUACAGUCGCCGUCAGUGCUAGGGUACCUACAUAAUUGGCAGCAAUUUUGUAGACAAAAGCGUUUGCGGUUUAUCCAGAACACCUUGCCGCACCCUAUCGCCCACUCGCCUAGCACAGCAGCCGUUAACCGAAAUCAGUAGCAGCAGCAGCAGCAGCGGUAGCGCCAGCAACUGAUAUUCCAUUUCUCUCAGUGCUCAGUGCUUUUAGUCCAGCAGUCGCAGCGCAAAGUAUCGAAACAGCGCGAGUAACAUCUAAUCGGUUUCAUUUAAAACUUCUCUGCGAAAAUGGGCAAGAAAGAUAAGAAGAAGGAAGAGGCGGAACCAGCACCAGCAGCCGAUGCACCACCAGCUGAUACUGCCGCAGGUGAGGGCGGUGAUGGUGAGAUUGUCGGCGGACCGCGCAAUCCUCAACAGAUUGCAGCACAAAAACGGUUACAGCAGACGCAGGCACAAGUCGAUGAGGUCGUCGACAUAAUGCGAACAAAUGUGGAGAAGGUGCUCGAGAGAGAUCAAAAGCUAUCGGAAUUGGAUGAUCGAGCUGAUGCCUUACAACAGGGUGCUUCGCAAUUUGAGCAACAAGCUGGUAAACUAAAACGAAAAUUCUGGUUGCAAAACUUGAAGAUGAUGAUUAUUAUGGGCGUUAUUGGACUGGUCGUUGUGGGCAUUAUUGCAAAAAAAGAUGAAGAUUAACUCACGUAUAAAGUGUGCACCGUUAUUCGAACUAAGCAAUACAAUAUUUUACACCCACUUAAUAUCCCACGAAAGAUAAACUAGGAUUAAUAGGCGGCGAAACACAGCCACAAUAUCCACAGUAUCCACAAUACAUGCCACCACCACCACCA
RNAcentral lists this unclassified non-coding RNA (1266 nucleotides) under Bactrocera tryoni. Its description in RNAcentral is "vesicle-associated membrane protein 2, transcript variant X5". Lineage: Eukaryota; Metazoa; Arthropoda; Insecta; Diptera; Tephritidae. The record is from RNAcentral.